CAAUAGCGUAUAUUUAAGUUGCUGCAGUUAAAAAGCUCGUAGUUGGAUUUCGGGUGGGAAUGGCCGGUCCGCCGUUUCGGUGUGCACUUGCUACGCCCACCUUGCUGCCGGGGACGUGCUCUUGAGUUCACGCUCGGGACACGGAGUCGGCGAGGUUACUUUGAGUAAAUUAGAGUGUUCAGAGCAGGCCUACGCUCUGAAUACAUUAGCAUGGAAUAACACGAUAGGACUCUGGCCUAUCUUGUUGGUCUGUAGGACCGGAGUAAUGAUUAAGAGGGACAGUCGGGGGCAUUCGUAUUUCAUUGUCAGAGGUGAAAUUCUUGGAUUUAUGAAAGACGAACUACUGCGAAAGCAUUUGCCAAGGAUGUUUUCAUUAA
Molecule: ribosomal RNA, 377 nt
Filed under: uncultured eukaryote
Lineage: Eukaryota
Description: partial 18S ribosomal RNA
Rfam family: Eukaryotic small subunit ribosomal RNA
Source: RNAcentral